UUAAGAAAACCACUGUCCCUUCUGAUCUGAUGUAAUUUCAAACUCUUGAUUUUCUUCCUAUUGUUUGUUGUUUGUUUUUUUUUUCCAGGGUGGUAAAGGAGGAGAUCUCAGACGACAAUGCAAAGCUCCCUUGCUUCAAUGGAAGAGUGGUGUCCUGGCUGGUCCUGGCUGAAAGCUCCCACUCUGACACGGGCUCCCAGUGCACCGAGAGCCACACAGACCUUCCACCACCCAUUGAGAGAACAGGCGGCAUUGGAGACUCCCGGCCUCCAUCAUUCCACCCAAAUGCUGCCAGCAGCCGGGAUGGCCUGGACAAUGAAACAGGAACAGAGUCAGUUAUUAGCCACCGGCGAGACAGACAUCGACGGAGAAAUAGAGAAGGGCAUGAGGAUGUCCCUCGGAUCAAUGGCCACCCGAAACUGGACAGGCACCGUGAGCACCCUCCUG
Molecule: long non-coding RNA, 447 nt
Filed under: Otus sunia (Oriental scops-owl)
Lineage: Eukaryota; Metazoa; Chordata; Aves; Strigiformes; Strigidae
Description: lncRNA (ENSOSUG00000008429.1)
Source: RNAcentral